This is a long non-coding RNA of Hibiscus syriacus, 358 nucleotides long. RefSeq lists it as uncharacterized. The transcript has 3 exons. The record is from RefSeq and is a predicted model, not a curated record. NCBI's taxonomy places the organism in Eukaryota, Viridiplantae, Streptophyta, Magnoliopsida, Malvales, Malvaceae.
UUGAAUAUUCGUCGGAAAACAAAGGUUCUCCAUAAGGUUUUGUCGAUUUCGUGCUGAUCUCGAUUUCUGUUCACCUCACCGCCAUCGCCGUUAGGUUCCCUGCCCUGUUCCGACAAAAACCCAAUCAGUUUUGUCCCUUCCCGCCGUUGUUUCCAACGACCACCAUUGGAGUCUUCCGAGCGUUCUUCUGUUGUCCAUGUCCCUGUCACCCUCCACACGUGCUGCCAUGCGCCUCCGCGAUGCGUGGCCUUUGUCCCUGCGAAUCUUCUGGAAAUCUAAGUCAACUCGAUCGAGUUUUAUAUUGCACUUAUUGGAACAUACUGAUCUCCCUAGCUCACUCCCCUAUCUUUUUCUUUUA